Molecule: ribosomal RNA, 305 nt
Filed under: uncultured bacterium
Lineage: Bacteria
Description: bacterial SSU rRNA
Rfam family: Bacterial small subunit ribosomal RNA
Source: RNAcentral
UCCCCUACGGGGCGCAGCAGUGAGGAAUAUUGGUCAAUGGGAGGAAUCCUGAACCAGCCAUGCCGCGUGCAGGACGACGGCUCUACGAGUUGUAAACUGCUUUUGUACCGGGGUAAAAUGCCUUACGAGUAGGGUUUUGAAAGUACGGUACGAAUAAGGAUCGGCUAACUCCGUGCCAGCAGCCACGGUAAUACGUAGGGAGCAAGCGUUAUCCGGAAUUAUUGGGUGUAAAGGGUGCGUAGACGGGACAGCAAGUUAGUUGUGAAAGCCCUCGGCUUAACUGAGGAACUGCAACUAAAACUAUU